GAUGAAGAACGUAGCGAAAUGCGAUAAGUAAUGUGAAUUGCAGAAUUCAGUGAAUCAUCGAAUCUUUGAACGCACAUUGCGCCCGCCAGCAUUCUGGCGGGCAUGCCUGUUCGAGCGUCAUUUCAACCCACGAGCCCCCCCGGGGGCCUCGGUGUUGGGGGACGGCACACCAGCCGCCCCCGAAAUGCAGUGGCGACCCCGCCGCAGCCUCCCCUGCGUAGUAGCACACACCUCGCACCGGAGCGCGGAGGCGGUCACGCCGUAAAACGCCCAACUUUCUUAGAGUUGACCUCGGAUCAGGUAGGAAUACCCGCUGAACUUAAGCAUAUCAAUAAGCGGAGGA
RNAcentral lists this unclassified non-coding RNA (343 nucleotides) under soil metagenome. Its description in RNAcentral is "partial contains 5.8S ribosomal RNA, internal transcribed spacer 2, and large subunit ribosomal RNA". The stretch from base 1 to 120 matches the Rfam family "5.8S ribosomal RNA", at positions 35 to 154 of the family's 154-position model. The record is from RNAcentral.